RNAcentral lists this ribosomal RNA (465 nucleotides) under uncultured bacterium. RNAcentral's name for it is "partial 16S ribosomal RNA". It matches the Rfam family "Bacterial small subunit ribosomal RNA", at positions 338 to 795 of the family's 1533-position model. The record is from RNAcentral.
CCUACGGGAGGCAGCAGUGGGGAAUAUUGCGCAAUGGGCGAAAGCCUGACGCAGCGACGCCGCGUGAGGGAUGAAGGUCUUCGGAUCGUAAACCUCUGUCAGCAGGGAAGAACGGUCACUGUGCUAAUCAGCAGUGAAUUGACGGUACCUGCAAAGGAAGCACCGGCUAACUCCGUGCCAGCAGCCGCGGUAAUACGGAGGGUGCGAGCGUUAAUCGGAAUUACUGGGCGUAAAGCGCUCGUAGGCGGUAUGUCAAGUCAAGGGUGAAAUCCCCGCGCUCAACGUGGGAACUACCUUUGAAACUGGGAGACUGGAGUGUGUGAGAGGAUGGUGGAAUUCCAGGUGUAGGAGUGAAAUCCGUAGAUAUCUGGAGGAACAUCAGUGGCGAAGGCGACUAUCUGGCACAUAACUGACGCUGAGGAGCGAAAGCGUGGGUAGCAAACAGGAUUAGAUACCCCAGUAGUC